CGGCGACCGGCGCACGGGUGCGUAACGCGUAUGCAACCUACCCAUAACAGGGGGAUAACACUGAGAAAUUGGUACUAAUACCCCAUAACAUCAGGACCGGCAUCGGUUCUGGUUGAAAACUCCGGUGGUUAUGGAUGGGCAUGCGUUGUAUUAGCUGGUUGGUGAGGUAACGGCUCACCAAGGCAACGAUACAUAGGGGGACUGAGAGGUUAACCCCCCACAUUGGUACUGAGACACGGACCAA
Molecule: ribosomal RNA, 244 nt
Filed under: uncultured bacterium
Lineage: Bacteria
Description: partial 16S ribosomal RNA
Rfam family: Bacterial small subunit ribosomal RNA
Source: RNAcentral